Molecule: ribosomal RNA, 519 nt
Filed under: uncultured bacterium
Lineage: Bacteria
Description: bacterial SSU rRNA
Rfam family: Bacterial small subunit ribosomal RNA
Source: RNAcentral
UAGAGUUUGAUCAUGGCUCAGAUUGAACGCUGGCGGCAUGCCUAACACAUGCAAGUCGAACGGAGGUAGGGGCAACUCUACUUCAGUGGCGGACGGGUGAGGAAUGCGUCGGAAUCUACCCUAUGGUGGGGGAUAACACAGGGAAACUUGUGCUAAUUCCGCAUGAUGUCGAGAGACCAAAGCAGGGGACCGCAAGGCCUUGCGCGAUAGGAUGAGCCGACGCCCGAUUAGCUAGUUGGUAGGGUAAAGGCCUCCCAAGGGUACGACGGGUAGCUGGUUUAAGAGGAUGGCCAGCCACACUGGAAAUGAGACCCGGUCCAGACUCCUACGGGAGGCAGCAGUGGGGAAUCUUGCGCAAUGGGGGAAAGCCUGAAGCAGCGCCGCCGCGUGGGUGACGAAGGCCUUCGGGUUGUAAAGCCCUGUGGGGUAGAAAGAAAAGGCAUCGGGCUAAUAUCCCGGUGUCUUGACGGUACUGCCUUAGCAAGCAUCGGCUAACUCUGUGCCAGCAGCCGCGGUAAU